GGAAGCCAAGGUCAAAGGGCAGGUAUUUACUGUUCAUUUCUCCCAAUGACCUGCUCAGAGCUACCCAUCCGUUCAACUGCUGGCAAUAGCUCUACAGUACUGCAAUGAAGUGGAUAUUGUGUUGAACAACAGCGCUGGACAGAAGCAAUAUCAUUCAUUCAAAGCCCACUCAGUUCUGAGCAUUCAGUACUAAGCAAACUGAGGGCAAAAUAGACUUCAAUGGGUGCCAGCUGGUAAUGAAAACAGAUAGCAGUGCAGCCUUGCUGAAGUUUUAAUAUCUUCCGGGUGAGUGGAAGGAUAGGAAGGAUAUUAAAAUGCAUCUCACCCAGAGGACACCUGGUUCAAGAAGACUAAAGGGGAAAGUACAGUUAUUUGGCUGCCAAUUCAACAUAUCACUCAGGGAAGCGAAGAAGAAUUUAUAAACAGUGAAAGCAAAAAAUCAACAGAAAUUAAAACACAUUACGCCAGAGGCAUUCCUCGACUUAUGAUGACAAUUAGAACCAGAAUUAGAAUUUCUGUCGCUGAACGAGGUGGUGGCUCACUGACUUGUGCCCAAUUUUUACAACUUUAUUUUUGCCAUGGUUGUUAAGCAAACCACUGUGUUUUGGAAUGAUGGGACCAAACAACAUUCCUGGUCAGCGAGAGACAGUUUAUUGC
Non-coding RNA from Pantherophis guttatus, 657 nucleotides. Lineage: Eukaryota; Metazoa; Chordata; Lepidosauria; Squamata; Colubridae. The record is from RefSeq and is a predicted model, not a curated record.